RNAcentral lists this transfer RNA (61 nucleotides) under Reticulinasus faini. RNAcentral describes it as "tRNA-Pro". Lineage: Eukaryota; Metazoa; Arthropoda; Arachnida; Ixodida; Argasidae. The record is from RNAcentral. RNAcentral also lists the same sequence under 1 other name.
CAGAAAAUAGUAUAAUUAAUUAUUUAAAUUUUGGAGAUUUAGGAUGAGAGAUCUUUUCUGA